Molecule: ribosomal RNA, 486 nt
Filed under: uncultured bacterium
Lineage: Bacteria
Description: partial 16S ribosomal RNA
Rfam family: Bacterial small subunit ribosomal RNA
Source: RNAcentral
AUUGAACGCUGGCGACAUGCCUUACACAUGCAAGUCGAACGGCAGCACGGGUGCUUGCACCUGGUGGCGAGUGGCGAACGGGUGAGUAAUACAUCGGAACAUGUCCUGUAGUGGGGGAUAGCCCGGCGAAAGCCGGAUUAAUACCGCAUACGAUCUACGGAUGAAAGCGGGGGACCUUCGGGCCUCGCGCUAUAGGGUUGGCCGAUGGCUGAUUAGCUAGUUGGUGGGGUAAAGGCCUACCAAGGCGACGAUCGGUAGCUGGUCUGAGAGGACGACCAGUCACACUGGGACUGAGACACGGCCCAGACUCCUACGGGAGGCAGCAGUGGGGAAUUUUGGACAAUGGGCGAAAGCCUGAUCCAGCAAUGCCGCGUGUGUGAAGAAGGCCUUCGGGUUGUAAAGCACUUUUGUCCGGAAAGAAAUCCUUGGCCCUAAUACGGUCGGGGGAUGACGGUACCGGAAGAAUAAGCACCGGCUAACUACGUG